AGGAUGAACGCUGGCGGCGUGCCUAACACAUGCAAGUCGAACGUCCUGUCUCGCAAGAGGCAGGGAGUGGCGGACGGGUGAGUACCACGUGGGUCAUCUACCGUGAGGUGAGGAAUACCGGCGAGAAAUCGCCGACAAGACCGCAUAGGCUCGAUGCAAGUCGAGCAAAGCUCUUUCGAGAGAGGGAGCGCCACACGAGGAGCCUGCGCCCGAUUAGCUAGCUGGUGGAGUAACGGUUCACCAGGGCGACGAUCGGUAGCUGGUCUGAGAGGACGAUCAGCCACACUGGGAUUGAGAACGGCCCAGACUCCUACGGGGGGCAGCAGUGAGGAAUUUUCGUCAAUGGGGGCAACCCUGAACGAGCAACGCCGCGUGCAGGAAGAAGGUUUCGGAUCGUAAACUGCUUUUCUCGGGGAAGAGAAUGGACGGUACCCGAGGAAUCAGCCCCGGCUAACGUACGCGCCAGCAGCCGCGGU
This 476-nucleotide ribosomal RNA is filed under the name uncultured bacterium. Its description in RNAcentral is "SSU rRNA". It matches the Rfam family "Bacterial small subunit ribosomal RNA", at positions 26 to 521 of the family's 1533-position model. The record is from RNAcentral.